UCUCUUGAGAGCCAUAUGGAGGAGUUAACGGUGAUAGUUCCUCCGUAGGCUUUCAGGAAAUA
Molecule: microRNA precursor, 62 nt
Filed under: Ptychodera flava
Lineage: Eukaryota; Metazoa; Hemichordata; Enteropneusta; Ptychoderidae
Description: Pfl-Mir-4830-P5_pre stem-loop
Source: RNAcentral